GAGGGUAUAGCUUGGUGGUAGACUUUGAGCCUAGCAUGCACAAGGUCCUGGGUUCCAUCCCCAGUACCUCCA
Transfer RNA from Camelus ferus (Wild Bactrian camel), 72 nucleotides. It matches the Rfam family "tRNA". Rfam says of the family: Transfer RNA (tRNA) molecules are approximately 80 nucleotides in length. Their secondary structure includes four short double-helical elements and three loops (D, anti-codon, and T loops). The record is from Rfam. NCBI's taxonomy places the organism in Eukaryota, Metazoa, Chordata, Mammalia, Artiodactyla, Camelidae.